This 460-nucleotide ribosomal RNA is filed under the name uncultured bacterium. Its description in RNAcentral is "partial 16S ribosomal RNA". It matches the Rfam family "Bacterial small subunit ribosomal RNA", at positions 338 to 795 of the family's 1533-position model. The record is from RNAcentral.
CCUACGGGGGGCAGCAGUGAGGAAUAUUGGUCAAUGGACGAGAGUCUGAACCAGCCAAGUAGCGUGAAGGAUGACUGCCCUAUGGGUUGUAAACUUCUUUUAUAUGGGAAUAAAAUGUUCCACGUGUGGGAUUUUGUAUGUACCAUAUGAAUAAGGAUCGGCUAACUCCGUGCCAGCAGCCGCGGUAAUACGGAGGAUCCGAGCGUUAUCCGGAUUUAUUGGGUUUAAAGGGAGCGUAGGUGGAGUGUUAAGUCAGUUGUGAAAGUUUGCGGCUCAACCGUAAAAUUGCAGUUGAAACUGGCAGUCUUGAGUACAGUAGAGGUGGGCGGAAUUCGUGGUGUAGCGGUGAAAUGCUUAGAUAUCACGAAGAACUCCGAUUGCGAAGGCAGUUCACUGGACUGCAACUGACACUGAGGCUCGAAAGUGUGGGUAUCAAACAGGAUUAGAUACCCUUGUAGUC